ACGCCGCGGUGAAUACGUUCCCGGGCCUUGUACACACCGCCCGUCACACCAUGAGAGUUUGUAACACCCGAAGCCGGUGGGGUAACCUCUAUGAGGAGCUAACCGUCUAAGGUGGGACAGAUGAUUGGGGUGAAGUCGUAACAAGGUAGCCGUAGGAGAACCUGCGGCUGGAUCACCUCCUUUCUAAGGAA
RNAcentral lists this ribosomal RNA (191 nucleotides) under Loigolactobacillus backii. RNAcentral describes it as "Lactobacillus backii partial 16S ribosomal RNA". It matches the Rfam family "Bacterial small subunit ribosomal RNA", at positions 1354 to 1533 of the family's 1533-position model. The record is from RNAcentral. Lineage: Bacteria; Bacillati; Bacillota; Bacilli; Lactobacillales; Lactobacillaceae.